ACCGCAGAAGCCAGGCACACUGAGGUCAGCUCCUGCUGACUGCUGAGAGUGUAUGUGUCCAUAUACGAAGAGUGUGUGUGUGUGUGUGUGUGUGUGUGUGUGUGUGUGUGUGUGUGUGUGUGUGUGUGUGUGUGAGAAUGUGGGGGUUGGUUGGCUACAACAGAGCCUGGUUUCAAUCACUGGGGAUGAUGAGAGAGGGCGAGCGAGAUAUGAAGACAGAUAGGAGAGAUAGUGUGGGACAGCUUGAGAGGAGUUGGUGAAGGGAGGAGAAUUCUGUCCACCAGCGAUGUGAGGAAUUCAAAGAGAGAGAGGAGAGGACAGAAAAGGUUGCUUUGCAGGAGCUCUUUGCAGUUGGAGUAUCAGUGUUUAUGUUGAACCUCUGAGAUGUCUGGAUGAUUUGAGGAAAGCUGAGGAGCCGUCAUGUUGGUGCAACACUGUCUCUUCUCCAGCUCAAUCUGUGUCUACUGUGUUCUACCCAUAAAGUAAUUGAGCUUGUCUGGCCGGCUGGGAGAGGGUAUUGUUUUGAAGCUAAGCAUGUGUGUUUAAUGAUCAUAUAGAAUGCAUCCAUGAGUUAAUCCAUGCCUA
Molecule: long non-coding RNA, 585 nt
Organism: Pygocentrus nattereri (red-bellied piranha)
Lineage: Eukaryota; Metazoa; Chordata; Actinopteri; Characiformes; Serrasalmidae
Exons: 3
Source: RefSeq, a predicted model, not a curated record